Molecule: small RNA, 3784 nt
Filed under: Pongo abelii (Sumatran orangutan)
Lineage: Eukaryota; Metazoa; Chordata; Mammalia; Primates; Hominidae
Description: retained intron
Source: RNAcentral
AUUGUUGAGCGCGCUGGGCCCCGCCGGCGAUGCCCCGCGCCGCCUCCUCGGAGCGGCGGCGAAGUUUGAACUUGGCGUCGGCCUGGAGCCGCGAGCAGCCCGGGGGCGGCGGCCGCGAGGCGAGCGGCGAUGAGAUGUGUGCCCAGACCCAGGCCAUGCAGAUACUAGUGCCUCUAACUUCGUCAGCCCAGAACACCUCACCUCUGGCCCCCAGCACAGGAAAGCAGCGUGGUCAGGAGGCGUUAAACUUCGGCUGAAGCACAGGCGCAGUGAGCCUGCAGGCCGACCUCACUCGUGGCACACAACUAAAUCUGGGGAGAAGCAACCCGAUGCCAGCAUGAUGCAGAUAUCUCAGGGUAUGAUCGGCCCUCCUUGGCACCAAAGCUACCAUUCCAGCUCCUCUACUAGUGACCUCUCCAACUAUGACCAUGCCUAUCUAAGGCGGAGCCCUGACCAGUGCAGCUCCCAGGGGAGCAUGGAGAGCCUGGAGCCCAGUGGGGCAUACCCACCCUGUCAUCUUUCCCCUGCCAAGUCCACCGGCAGCAUUGACCAGCUCAGCCACUUCCAUAACAAGAGAGACUCCGCUUACAGCUCUUUCUCCACCAGUUCUAGCAUCCUAGAGUAUCCACACCCUGGCAUCUCUGCCCGGGAGCGUUCAGGCUCUGUGGACAAUACUUCUGCUCGAGGUGGCCUCCUCGAAGGGAUGAGGCAGGCAGAUAUUCGCUAUGUCAAGACAGUCUAUGACACCCGGAGGGGAGUCUCAGCAGAGUAUGAGGUGAACUCUUCAGCCCUGCUGCUUCAAGGUAGGGAGGCCCGAGCCUCAGCAGAUGGUCAGGGCUAUGAUAAAUGGUCUAAUAUUCCUCGGGGCAAGGGAGUGCCACCCCCAUCCUGGAGCCAGCAGUGCCCCAGUUCCUUGGAGACUGCCACGGACAACCUUCCUCCUAAGGUGGGUGCACCCCUGCCUCCAGCUCGGAGUGACAGUUACGCAGCAUUUCGGCACCGUGAACGGCCCAGCUCCUGGUCUAGCCUUGAUCAGAAACGGCUCUGCCGGCCUCAGGCAAACUCUUUAGGCUCCCUGAAGUCUGCAUUCACAGAGGAGCAGCUGCAUACUGUGCUGGAGAAGAGUCCAGAGAACAGCCCCCCGGUGAAGCCCAAGCAUAACUAUACCCAGAAGGCCCAACCUGGCCAACCUCUGCUGCCGACCAGCAUCUACCCCGUACCUUCCCUGGAGCCACACUUUGCCCAGGUGCCUCAGCCUUCUGUGAGUAGCAACGGUAUGCUCUAUCCUGCACUGGCCAAGGAGAGUGGAUACAUAGCCCCUCAGGGAGCAUGCAACAAGAUGGCUACCAUUGAUGAGAAUGGGAACCAGAAUGGAUCUAGCAGGCCUGGGUUUGCCUUCUGCCAGCCCUUAGAACAUGACUUGCUGUCCCCGGUGGAGAAGAAACCAGAAGCUACAGCCAAGUAUGUCCCCUCCAAAGUCCAUUUCUCUUCAGUGCCUGAAAAUGAGGAGGAUGCCUCCCUGAAGAGACAUCUCACACCUCCCCAAGGCAACAGCCCACAUUCCGAUGAGAGAAAGAGCACCCACAGCAACAAACCAUCUUCUCAUCCCCACAGCCUCAAAUGCCCUCAGGCUCAGGCCUGGCAAGCGGGUGAAGACAAGAGAUCUUCCAGGCUCUCAGAGCCCUGGGAGGGCGAUUUUCAGGAAGACCACAAUGCCAACCUCUGGAGGAGGCUGGAGAGAGAAGGCCUAGGCCAGAGCCUGUCAGGCAACUUUGGCAAGACCAAGUCAGCCUUCUCAUCUCUCCAGAACAUUCCUGAGAGUGUGAGAAGACACAGCAGCCUGGAGCUGGGCCGGGGAGCCCAGGAGGGUUACCCCGGGGGCAGGCCCACCUGUGUAGUCAACACCAAGGCAGAAGACCCUGGGAGGAAAGCCGCUCCUGACCUCGGGAGCCAUCUGGACCGGCAGGUGUCCUACCCGCGGCCCGAGGGGAGGACCGGUGCCUCGGGUUCUUUCAACAGCACAGACCCAAGGCCCGAAGAGCCGCCUGCCCCGUCGCACCCGCACACAUCCAGCCUGGGGCGGAGGGGGCCUGGCCCAGGCAGCGCCUCCGCUCUUCAGGGCUUUCAGUACGGGAAGCCCCACUGCUCGGUGCUGGAGAAGGUCUCCAAAUUCGAGCAGCGAGAGCAAGGGAGCCAGAGACCGAGUGUGGGCGGCUCCGGUUUUGGCCAUAACUAUAGGCCCCACAGGACCGUCUCAACUUCCAGUACUUCUGGGAAUGACUUCGAGGAGACAAAAGCACACAUCCGUUUCUCUGAGUCAGCUGAACCCCUAGGCAACGGGGAGCAGCACUUCAAAAACGGGGAGCUGAAGUUGGAAGAGGCUUCCCGGCAGCCCUGCGGUCAGCAGCUGAGCGGAGGAGCGUCGGACAGCGGCCGUGGCCCCCAGAGGCCGGACGCUCGGCUCCUCCGUAGCCAGAGCACCUUCCAGCUCUCCAGUGAGCCAGAGAGGGAGCCCGAGUGGCGGGACAGGCCCCGCUCGCCCGAGUCGCCCCUGCUGGAUGCCCCCUUCAGCCGCGCCUACCGGAACAGCAUCAAGGACGCACAGUCCCGUGUCUUGGGGGCCACCUCCUUUCGACGUCGGGACCUGGAGCUGGGGGCGCCCGUGGCGUCGAGGUCCUGGCGGCCACGGCCUUCCUCGGCCCACGUGGGGCUGCGGAGCCCCGAGGCGCCGGCCUCCGCCUCCCCGCACACGCCCCGGGAGCGGCACAGCGUGACCCCUGCCGAGGGCGACCUGGCCAGGCCGGUGCCCCCUGCCGCCCGGAGAGGAGCUCGCCGGCGCCUGACUCCCGAGCAGAAGAAGCGCUCCUACUCGGAGCCCGAGAAGAUGAACGAGGUGGGAGUCGUGGAGGAGGCCGAAGCGGCACCCGUGGGCCCGCAGAGAAAUGGGAAGUGUUUCCCGGAGAGCAGCGUGGCCGACCGGCGCCGUCUGUUUGAGCGCGAUGGCAAGGCUUGCUCCACGCUCAGCCUGUCUGGGCCCGAGCUGAAGCAGUUCCAGCAGAGCGCCCUGGCCGACUACAUCCAGCGCAAGACCGGCAAGCGGCCUACCUCCGCCGCCGGCUGCAGCCUCCAGGAGCCUGGGCCACUGCGCGAGCGCGCCCAGAGUGCCUACCUCCAGCCCGGCCCCGCGGCGCUCGAAGGCUCUGGCCUCGCCUCGGCCUCCAGCUUGAGCUCGCUGCGGGAGCCCAGCCUGCAGCCCCGCAGGGAGGCCACGCUCCUGCCAGCCACGGUUGCAGAAACCCAGCAGGCUCCCCGAGAUCGCAGCAGCUCCUUCGCCGGUGGCCGCCGCCUCGGGGAACGGCGACGCGGGGACUCGCAGGUCCCAAGGGACCUGCUUAGCGGAGCAAAUGGUGGAACAAGGGGCACCCUGAGAGUGGAUGAGACCCCCAGGGAACCAUCCUCCUGGGGGGCCAGGGCCGGGAAGUCCAUGUCGGCCGAGGACCUGCUGGAACGCUCGGACGUCCUCGCGGGCCCUGUCCACGUGAGGUCCAGGUCAUCUCCCGCCACCGCAGACAAACGCCAGGUACGUGCAACCAGCAGGUCCUGGCCUCGGACUGUCCCUUCCUCCCUAGAAGCUUUAGUGGGGCUCCCCAACCCCCCACACUCUCACCCCCUCUCCCAGUUCAGUUUUCCUUGUGAUUACAGAAAAGUAGCAUUUGUUUUCAUGAGUUGAGUUUCUCAAGUGUCCCUUACCUGGUUUCCUUACAAAGAUAUAGGUAUCUAGAUU